GAUGAACGCUAGCGGCAGGCUUAAUACAUGCAAGUCGUGGGGCAGCAGGACUGUAGCAAUACAGUUGCUGGCGACCGGCAAACGGGUGCGGAACACGUACGCAACUUACCCUGAACUGGGGGAUAGCCCGGGGAAACCCGGAUUAAUACCCCGUAAUAUAAUGGAGUGGCAUCACUUUAUUAUUAAAGCUACGGCGGUUCGGGAUGGGCGUGCGGCUGAUUAGGUAGUUGGUUGGGGUAACGGCUCACCAAGCCUACGAACGGUAACUGGUGGAAGAGAACGACAAAUCACGCGGGAACUGAGACACUGGCCCGACUACUACGGGAGGCAGCAGGAAGGAAUAUUAGGCAAUGGAGGCAACUCUGACCCAGCCAGGCCGCGUGGAGGAUGGAGGCCCUCUGGGUUGUAAGCUUCUUUUAUAGUGGACGAAACCUGUGUAUUCUUACGCAGUUGACGGUACCCUAGGAAUAAGCACCGGCUAACUCCGUG
This 489-nucleotide ribosomal RNA is filed under the name uncultured bacterium. Its description in RNAcentral is "partial 16S ribosomal RNA". It matches the Rfam family "Bacterial small subunit ribosomal RNA", at positions 28 to 507 of the family's 1533-position model. The record is from RNAcentral.